CGCAAAUUACUCACUCCCGGCACGGGGAGGUAGUGACAAAAAAUAACGAUACGGGACUCAUCCGAGGCCCCGUAAUCGGAAUGAGAACACUCUAAAUCAUUUAACAAGGACCUAUUGGAGGGCAAGUCUGGUGCCAGCAGCCGCGGUAAUUCCAGCUCCAAUAGCGUAUAUUAAAGUUGUUGCGGUUAAAAAGCUCGUAGUUGGUUCUGCGUCCCACGCUGUCGGUUCACCGUCUGUCGGUGCAACUGGCACGCCGUGGGAUGUCCUGUCGGUGGCGUCCUUGGAUCUUGGGAGCGCUGAGGGCUAAUUAGGGUUCCGAUGCUCUCCCCGGUGAAGGGGUCGCCGAACUAAUCCUACUUCGGUGCUCUUCAUUGAGUGUCGAGGUCGGCCGACACGUUUACUUUGAACAAAUUAGAGUGCUCAAAGCAGGCUGAAUUCCGCCUGAAUAGUGGUGCAUGGAAUAAUUGAAUAGGACCUCGGUUCUAUUUUGUUGGUUUUCUGAAUCCGAGGUAAUGAUCAAUAUGGACAAGCGGGGGCAUUCGUAUUGCGGCGUUAGACUUGGCAAAUGCUUUCGCGGUGAAAUUCUUGGAUCGUCGCAAGACGGACUAGAGCGAAAGCAUUUGCCAAGUAUGUCUUAGUUGAUCAAGAACGAAAGUUAGAGGUUCGAAGGCGAUCAGAUACCGCCCUAGUUCUAACCAUAAACGAUGCCAGCCAGCGAUCCGCCGAUGUUCCUCCGAUGACUCGGCGGGCAGCUUCCGGGAAACCAAAGCUUUUGGGUUCCGGGGGAAGUAUGGUUGCAAAGCUGAAACUUAAAGGAAUUGACGGAAGGGCACCACCAGGAGUGGAGCCUGCGGCUUAAUUUGACUCAACNCGGGGAACCUCACCAGGCCCGGACAUUGGAAGGAUUGACAGAUUGAUAGCUCUUUCUUGAUUCAAUGGGUAGUGGNGCAUGGCCNUUAAAAGUUG
RNAcentral lists this ribosomal RNA (966 nucleotides) under Lethocerus americanus. Its description in RNAcentral is "bacterial SSU rRNA". It matches the Rfam family "Eukaryotic small subunit ribosomal RNA", at positions 435 to 1300 of the family's 1831-position model. Lineage: Eukaryota; Metazoa; Arthropoda; Insecta; Hemiptera; Belostomatidae. The record is from RNAcentral.